RNAcentral lists this ribosomal RNA (468 nucleotides) under uncultured bacterium. Its description in RNAcentral is "partial 16S ribosomal RNA". It matches the Rfam family "Bacterial small subunit ribosomal RNA", at positions 28 to 507 of the family's 1533-position model. The record is from RNAcentral.
GACGAACGCUGGCGGCGUGCUUAACACAUGCAAGUCGAACGGAAAGGCCCAGCUUUUGUGGGGUGCUCGAGUGGCGAACGGGUGAGUAACACGUGAGUAACCUGCCCUUGACUUUGGGAUAACUUCAGGAAACUGGGGCUAAUACCGGAUAGGAGCUCCUGCUGCAUGGUGGGGGUUGGAAAGUUUCGGCGGUUGGGGAUGGACUCGCGGCUUAUCAGCUUGUUGGUGGGGUAGUGGCUUACCAAGGCUUUGACGGGUAGCCGGCCUGAGAGGGGGACCGGCGACAUUGGGACUGCGAGAGGGCGCAGAGGCGAACGGGGGGCAGCGGGGGGAAAUAUGGCCCAGUGGGCGGAAGCGUGUGGAGGAAGCGCGGGGGGCGGAAUGACGGCCUUGGGGUGGAAAACCGGUUGGGCCUGUGACAAGCCGUGAGUGACGGUAACGGGAAAAGAAGCACCGGCUAACUACGUG